UAUCACUUUAAAUUUUUCACAACACUUAACCCGACUGGAUUCUUUACAGAUGUCUCUAUAGCAACGGCUCGCGUGACCCUAUAGACCCGUGCGGUCAGGCGAGGCGAAAUUAUGACCAAUUAGUGCCAUUGUGAGUUCAGAUAUCUAUGGCACACUUACAGGAAAUGACAUCAACGGGUGCAAACUAAAAAUAUGUCGCAGGAUGGACGGUCUGGGACGCCCGAACCUAUGGGUCAGUAUCGGAAGCUCCAAUUAAGCUGGUUUCUAUAGUUUUGUCAGGUGAAUGCUGGUGAAAUGAUCUGCAAUGGGAAUCAAGCAUCACUUUCAUCCAGAGCAAGACGACACACUUUUAUCCUCCUCAUACACCGUGGACUAAUGGUUUGUGUGAAUGAAGACACCCUGGACAUUAAACCAAAGAGGUUAAUGGGAUAAUAUCAAACCACAGGCUGUGAUCACGUAUUGCUGUUUGAUUGAGUUUAGCACUGAAUGGGGUAUGACAGUCAUAACGGGCGUCUUCAAAAAUGUCUUGACAUGACACUUCAUUCUCAAUGUUGGUUCUGGAGGAUGAAGACAGCGGUGUAAUUAAUUCUGUACAGUAUGCGCAACUGACCAACGAGAGGGCAUCUCUCCCGCUGAUCACCGAAGGGAAUCCUACUGAAUCCCUCCCAAAGCCUCCUGAUUCAGAGCCUUAAACUGGGCACCUUUCCACAUCAAAGCGCUCCUGAGCACCUGCUUCUCAAGGACUCACGUCUUCAGGAAAGAAUGGCCUCUACUUAGAAGCGAACACCGCUGGUCUAAUUUGCCUUGCAUGGCCCUCCCCAUUCCCCCAGUGUAUGUGCAGUCUGGGCCUGAUCUGACACAGCCGUGGCUAUCUGGCGAGAUCACAUGGAGAGGUGCGGGAACUUAAAGGCAAAGAGUUACUGUGCAUCCAACCAGGAGCCUCAAAAGGACUGUAUUAAAAUGCGCUCAAUAAGCCGGUAAGGCCUUUUAAAGUGCUGUGCAGCCUCUAGCCCCGGCAAACUCAAAGGGCAUCUGCAAACCCAUGGUAAUGGGGAAUAUGGCCCCUAUUAAUUUAAUGAAUCCAGGGUAUUAGUAUGCUUACGGAGUCUUCGCCUAUUUUAUCUCUGGUGGACUGCAGUCCAGUAAUCCACUAACUUUGGAGGGAAGACGACAAGUGGAUAAAUAGCUGUCUGUGCUCCUUAAAUGAAUUCUUAACUGCACUUUCACAUAAUAAACCUUUAAAAAUUAACAAACUAUAAAAAAUCCAAUGCACAGUAAAGAGGAUGAAAUCGUGAAAGAUCACCCUAACAUUUCACCAUAUAUAUAAAUGUUUAAAAAAAACUGAACCAUGAAUUUAGCCAAAAUAUGAUAGACGCAAAGCAUAUAUUAGCAUAAUUUCACACCCGCUUGGCUGUAAGCUGGGAACAUGUUGGUCAUAGAGAUGGAACUGUGAAUCUCAACUAUGUCUCUCGCAUCCACACUGCAACUGGGCUGUGUUAGCUCUGCCUCUGUGCAUCAGGCAUAACAGUGCCAAAUAGUGCAAGUAUGGUGCAAGGACCCCCCCUCCCUGGACUUUACGCACCUGAGACUCACAACCGGCUCAUCCUGACGUUGAUGUGUUUGUGAUAGACACCUGUAAAAGAUUAGGCAGAUAGUGAAGUGUGGCAGUCUUCUCAGACCUGAUGGAGUUAAUUAAAGGCACAGUAACAGAACCUCUCUAAGGAACACAUCAAAGGUCUCAGACAACAUCGGUCUGCAGGCUCAUAUCUGGGGUGCAUGGACCUGAUGUGACCAGGACCAGAUGCAUGCUGGGCCACAAGCCUGACCCCUGGUCCAUAGCAGGGUCGGAGCUGGCCAGCAGCUCAGUCGGGGCCAGGCUUACCUGUGCUUGCAUGUCUGCAUGCUGGAGAAAGGUGACACGCCUUCAUCUGUGUUUGUGCAGUGACUCCGACCUGGAGUGCAGAGAGACAGAGAGCAGAGGUGAGAGGUCAGCCGAGGAGGGCAAGCUUAAGAGAAUCACACAUGGGGCACAUUUGCCAAAUACUGUCUGAAGGUAACAUGCAUUUUCAACUGAUAUCGCUCUUCAGGAACACAUGAAAUGUUCACAUUGCCUUUGUACUUGCCCUCCUGACCUCAGUUAAAGAGAAGGAAAAACUGCUGCUUUGAUUGACUGCUUGUUGAUUUACUAUGACGGUUAAUUAUUCAGUUCAGUCAUUACCAACACAGAGAUAUAUUUCAAAAACAACUAUUGUUGACUUUAUAGAAGAUGCACUGACAGAUUUUAUUUUUUAACCACAGUAUUGCUGGAGA
Molecule: non-coding RNA, 2310 nt
Organism: Paramisgurnus dabryanus
Lineage: Eukaryota; Metazoa; Chordata; Actinopteri; Cypriniformes; Cobitidae
Source: RefSeq, a predicted model, not a curated record